Jaculus jaculus (lesser Egyptian jerboa) is the source of this 124-nucleotide small nuclear RNA. The record is from Ensembl. Lineage: Eukaryota; Metazoa; Chordata; Mammalia; Rodentia; Dipodidae.
GUGUUGUAUGAAAGGAGAGAAGGUGAGCACUCCCUUGACACGAAUAGAAGAUGUCUUUGCAUCUGACAAAAUGAAUACUGUUAAAGCACUGCAGUUUCCUUAGAGAAGAUUGUGGUGAUGUUGU